This is a long non-coding RNA of Sorghum bicolor (sorghum), 1839 nucleotides long. RefSeq lists it as uncharacterized. The transcript has 4 exons. The record is from RefSeq and is a predicted model, not a curated record. NCBI's taxonomy places the organism in Eukaryota, Viridiplantae, Streptophyta, Magnoliopsida, Poales, Poaceae.
UCACCACAAGAAAUUGGUGUUUCAGCCAUUUGCCAAGCAUCAAUAUAUCAUGACAAGGAAAAUGAUGAUCCACUUGAGUGCAAUGACUGGCUACAUAGGAAUGAUGAGUACGUCAGGAAACAAAGACCACCAUUGACGCCUUUGGCGACUGAAGGUUCAAACAGCACCAUAAUAAAUACAGGUGUCAGCUCAAGCACUGCCAAACUGCUCAGCAAACGAAACUGGUACCUAAACAUGGAUGCGACAGCCAAGGCAAAAUUGCUAAAACAGAGGCGACAAUACAAAAAAGCAAGAGCAGCGGAUAACAACCGCCGAGCAUGCCCUACUGUUGCCCAGGAAGAAAAUGUUAACCAUAUACCUGUGAUCAGAUGUGUAGACACCAACGAUGAAAUCGAAUUUGACAUUGUUUUAUUCGAACCUACAAACCAUGAAUCUGAUGAUGAAGGUUGGUUUUACAAAUCACUUAACCAAUGCAGUUUUUUUCUUUAGUUGGCAUUUUGUUGCAUGCAUCCUGUUAAUUUCAAGCGCAUGUGAAAUAGAUCAUCUAAGUGAUAUAGAAGAGGAAUUUGUCAUAGAAGAAGAUGGUCCUAAAGAUUUUGAGACUAUGCAGUUUCUUGGUGAAGAAUGUGCAUUUGAGUCAUAUCGUGUCAACGACGAUUGCAAUGGCAAAACUGUAGCUGAUGACCCAUAUGAUUUUGUCUACCAUAACUUGCCGGAAGAGCACCAUGUUUUGAAAAAGGUUCCUGACUGCCGAUAUUGUGGAGCCAUGAGAUUUGAAGGCGAACCACCUGGAUUCUGUUGUAGAAUGGGAAAGAUAAAAGUGCAUAUCAAUGAUGUACCUGCUGAGUUGAAGAGGUUGUUCACGAGUCCGGUGGAUACUGAUGCAAAAUAUUUCAUAAAACACAUACGGUACUUCAACUCUCACUUCUCAUUCACAAGUCUCGGAGUUACACUGGACCGGAGAUACUGCACAGCGGCAGGUACCGGCAUAUAUACAUUUCGUGUACAUGGUGAAUGUAUCAUCGUCUGGACCAUUUACUGCCAGGGUCAAAAGAGCCACGUCACCUGCAACUCUACUUUUAUGACACAGAAGAAGCAGAUACAUUGUCUCAUAGAGUGAAAAGGUCACCUGAUCUUGAUAUAAAUAUUGUAAGAAAUGUGCUCAGGAUACUACAAGCAAAUAACCCUUAUGUACAAACCUUUAAUAGAGCUGGCUCUAUUCCGAAUCUUGGUGAUUAUGUAAUUGAGCUCAACACUAAUGUGACACCUGACCAACGAAGGUAUAAUGCCCCUACUACCUCACAAGUUGCUGCUAUCUGGACCGAUGGAGAUGACCCCCAAAGAUGUUUUGAUAGGAGUGUUAUUGUAUACCCUAAAGGAGAGAAGAUGCGCUAUAUCAAAGCUUAUCAUGGGUGUUAUGAUCCAUCAGCAUAUCCUUUAUUAAAUCCCAAAGGAGAAACUGGAUGGAAUAAGUUCAUGCCCUACAAUGACAGUCCCAAAGAGUCAACGUCUCCUACUAAUGGUGAGGAUUUACUGGAGCAACCAGUGGGUCCUACCGGUGGGGAGGAUUUAGUGCAACAACCAUUGGGUAUGGCAACAGUCCAGAUUCAUGCUACUUCAUCCUACUAAGAGACAUGGCUUAAGCAAUCAUCAUCCCUGAAGAACUCCGAGAUCUGCUUAAGCAAUUAAGAACUUAUUUGUAGUAUAUGAGACAUGGCUUUAUUAUUCCUUAUUUAUGAGUGUAUUCUGGAUUAUAUGAAUGCUCAAAAAACUAUAGAAAAAAUAUCGUUGUUUCGUUGAAAAUUGUUGUUUUUAAGUGCAUCCUUAGAAUAAAACCGU